This 2893-nucleotide ribosomal RNA is filed under the name Escherichia coli. Its description in RNAcentral is "23S ribosomal RNA". It matches the Rfam family "Bacterial large subunit ribosomal RNA". Lineage: Bacteria; Pseudomonadati; Pseudomonadota; Gammaproteobacteria; Enterobacterales; Enterobacteriaceae. The record is from RNAcentral.
UUAAGCGACUAAGCGUACACGGUGGAUGCCCGGCAGUCAGAGGCGAUGAAGGACGUGCUAAUCUGCGAUAAGCGUCGGUAAGGUGAUAUGAACCGUUAUAACCGGCGAUUUCCGAAUGGGGAAACCCAGUGUGAUUCGUCACACUAUCAUUAACUGAAUCCAUAGGUUAAUGAGGCGAACCGGGGGAACUGAAACAUCUAAGUACCCCGAGGAAAAGAAAUCAACCGAGAUUCCCCAGUAGCGGCGAGCGAACGGGGAGGAGCCAGAGCCUGAAUCAGUGUGUGUGUUAGUGGAAGCGUCUGGAAAGGCGCGCGAUACAGGGUGACAGCCCCGUACACAAAAAUGCAUGCUGUGAGCUCGAUGAGUAGGGCGGGACACGUGGUAUCCUGUCUGAAUAUGGGGGGACCAUCCUCCAAGGCUAAAUACUCCUGACUGACCGAUAGUGAACCAGUACCGUGAGGGAAAGGCGAAAAGAACCCCGGCGAGGGGAGUGAAAAAGAACCUGAAACCGUGUACGUACAAGCAGUGGGAGCCUCUUUAUGGGGUGACUGCGUACCUUUUGUAUAAUGGGUCAGCGACUUAUAUUCUGUAGCAAGGUUAACCGAAUAGGGGAGCCGAAGGGAAACCGAGUCUUAACUGGGCGUUAAGUUGCAGGGUAUAGACCCGAAACCCGGUGAUCUAGCCAUGGGCAGGUUGAAGGUUGGGUAACACUAACUGGAGGACCGAACCGACUAAUGUUGAAAAAUUAGCGGAUGACUUGUGGCUGGGGGUGAAAGGCCAAUCAAACCGGGAGAUAGCUGGUUCUCCCCGAAAGCUAUUUAGGUAGCGCCUCGUGAAUUCAUCUCCGGGGGUAGAGCACUGUUUCGGCAAGGGGGUCAUCCCGACUUACCAACCCGAUGCAAACUGCGAAUACCGGAGAAUGUUAUCACGGGAGACACACGGCGGGUGCUAACGUCCGUCGUGAAGAGGGAAACAACCCAGACCGCCAGCUAAGGUCCCAAAGUCAUGGUUAAGUGGGAAACGAUGUGGGAAGGCCCAGACAGCCAGGAUGUUGGCUUAGAAGCAGCCAUCAUUUAAAGAAAGCGUAAUAGCUCACUGGUCGAGUCGGCCUGCGCGGAAGAUGUAACGGGGCUAAACCAUGCACCGAAGCUGCGGCAGCGACACUAUGUGUUGUUGGGUAGGGGAGCGUUCUGUAAGCCUGCGAAGGUGUACUGUGAGGUAUGCUGGAGGUAUCAGAAGUGCGAAUGCUGACAUAAGUAACGAUAAAGCGGGUGAAAAGCCCGCUCGCCGGAAGACCAAGGGUUCCUGUCCAACGUUAAUCGGGGCAGGGUGAGUCGACCCCUAAGGCGAGGCCGAAAGGCGUAGUCGAUGGGAAACAGGUUAAUAUUCCUGUACUUGGUGUUACUGCGAAGGGGGGACGGAGAAGGCUAUGUUGGCCGGGCGACGGUUGUCCCGGUUUAAGCGUGUAGGCUGGUUUUCCAGGCAAAUCCGGAAAAUCAAGGCUGAGGCGUGAUGACGAGGCACUACGGUGCUGAAGCAACAAAUGCCCUGCUUCCAGGAAAAGCCUCUAAGCAUCAGGUAACAUCAAAUCGUACCCCAAACCGACACAGGUGGUCAGGUAGAGAAUACCAAGGCGCUUGAGAGAACUCGGGUGAAGGAACUAGGCAAAAUGGUGCCGUAACUUCGGGAGAAGGCACGCUGAUAUGUAGGUGAAGUCCCUCGCGGAUGGAGCUGAAAUCAGUCGAAGAUACCAGCUGGCUGCAACUGUUUAUUAAAAACACAGCACUGUGCAAACACGAAAGUGGACGUAUACGGUGUGACGCCUGCCCGGUGCCGGAAGGUUAAUUGAUGGGGUUAGCGGUAACGCGAAGCUCUUGAUCGAAGCCCCGGUAAACGGCGGCCGUAACUAUAACGGUCCUAAGGUAGCGAAAUUCCUUGUCGGGUAAGUUCCGACCUGCACGAAUGGCGUAAUGAUGGCCAGGCUGUCUCCACCCGAGACUCAGUGAAAUUGAACUCGCUGUGAAGAUGCAGUGUACCCGCGGCAAGACGGAAAGACCCCGUGAACCUUUACUAUAGCUUGACACUGAACAUUGAGCCUUGAUGUGUAGGAUAGGUGGGAGGCUUUGAAGUGUGGACGCCAGUCUGCAUGGAGCCGACCUUGAAAUACCACCCUUAAUGUUUGAUGUUCUAACGUUGGCCCCUAAUCGGGGUUGCGGACAGUGUCUGGUGGGUAGUUUGACUGGGGCGGUCUCCUCCUAAAGAGUAACGGAGGAGCACGAAGGUUGGCUAAUCCUGGUCGGACAUCAGGAGGUUAGUGCAAUGGCAUAAGCCAGCUUGACUGCGAGCGUGACGGCGCGAGCAGGUGCGAAAGCAGGUCAUAGUGAUCCGGUGGUUCUGAAUGGAAGGGCCAUCGCUCAACGGAUAAAAGGUACUCCGGGGAUAACAGGCUGAUACCGCCCAAGAGUUCAUAUCGACGGCGGUGUUUGGCACCUCGAUGUCGGCUCAUCACAUCCUGGGGCUGAAGUAGGUCCCAAGGGUAUGGCUGUUCGCCAUUUAAAGUGGUACGCGAGCUGGGUUUAGAACGUCGUGAGACAGUUCGGUCCCUAUCUGCCGUGGGCGCUGGAGAACUGAGGGGGGCUGCUCCUAGUACGAGAGGACCGGAGUGGACGCAUCACUGGUGUUCGGGUUGUCAUGCCAAUGGCACUGCCCGGUAGCUAAAUGCGGAAGAGAUAAGUGCUGAAAGCAUCUAAGCACGAAACUUGCCCCGAGAUGAGUUCUCCCUGACUCCCUGAGAGUCCUGAAGGAACGUUGAAGACGACGACGUUGAUAGGCCGGGUGUAAGCGCAGCGAUGCGUUGAGCUAACCGGUACUAAUGAACCGUGAGGCUUAACCU